UACGUAGGGCGCAAGCGUUAUCCGGAAUUAUUGGGCGUAAAGAGCGUGUAGGCGGCCAGGUAGGUCCGUUGUGAAAACUCGAGGCUCAACCUCGAGACGCCGAUGGAAACCAUCUGGCUAGAGUCCGGAAGAGGAGAGUGGAAUUCCCGGUGUAGCGGUGAAAUGCGCAGAUAUCGGGAAGAACACCCGUGGCUAAGGCGGCUCUCUAGUACGGUACUGACGCUGAGACGCGAAAGCGUGGGGAGCGAACAGG
Molecule: ribosomal RNA, 253 nt
Filed under: uncultured bacterium
Lineage: Bacteria
Description: partial 16S ribosomal RNA
Rfam family: Bacterial small subunit ribosomal RNA
Source: RNAcentral